AGAGUUUGAUCAUGGCUCAGGACGAACGCUGGCGGCGUGCUUAACACAUGCAAGUCGAACGAUGACAGUGGGAGCUUGCUCCCGCUCGAUUAGUGGCGAACGGGUGAGUAACACGUGAGCAAUCUGCCCCUGACUCUGGGAUAAGCGUUGGAAACGACGUCUAAUACCGGAUACGAGCUAGAACCGCAUGGUCACUAGCUGGAAAGAACUUUGGUCAGGGAUGAGCUCGCGGCCUAUCAGCUUGUUGGUGAGGUAAUGGCUCACCAAGGCGACGACGGGUAGCCGGCCUGAGAGGGUGACCGGCCACACUGGGACUGAGACACGGCCCAGACUCCUACGGGAGGCAGCAGUGGGGAAUAUUGCACAAUGGGCGAAAGCCUGAUGCAGCAACGCCGCGUGAGGGACGAAGGCCUUCGGGUUGUAAACCUCUUUUAGCAGGGAAGAAGCGAAAGUGACAGUACCUGCAGAAAAAGCACCGGCUAACUACGUGCCAGCAGCCGCGGUAAUACGUAGGGUGCAAGCGUUGUCCGGAAUUAUUGGGCGUAAAGAGCUCGUAGGCGGUUUGUCGCGUCUGCUGUGAAAAUCCGAGGCUCAACCUCGGACCUGCAGUGGGUACGGGCAAACUAGAGUGCGGUAGGGGAGAUUGGAAUUCCUGGUGUAGCGGUGGAAUGCGCAGAUAUCAGGAGGAACACCAAUGGCGAAGGCAGAUCUCUGCGCCGUAACUGACGCUGAGGAGCGAAAGCGUGGGGAGCGAACAGGAUUAGAUACCCUGGUAGUCCACGCCGUAAANCGGUGGGAACUAGAUGUAGGGACCGUUCCACCGGUUUCUGUGUCGCAGCUAACCGCAUUAAGUUCCCCGCCUGGA
This 865-nucleotide ribosomal RNA is filed under the name uncultured bacterium. RNAcentral's name for it is "bacterial SSU rRNA". It matches the Rfam family "Bacterial small subunit ribosomal RNA", at positions 9 to 873 of the family's 1533-position model. The record is from RNAcentral.